This is a long non-coding RNA of Nymphaea colorata (pocket water lily), 518 nucleotides long. RefSeq lists it as uncharacterized. The record is from RefSeq and is a predicted model, not a curated record. The transcript has 3 exons. NCBI's taxonomy places the organism in Eukaryota, Viridiplantae, Streptophyta, Magnoliopsida, Nymphaeales, Nymphaeaceae.
CAUAUAUAAAGCCAAGACAUGAUAGCGAGUAACUGUGCAACAGGACAUACUCUGGACUAGUUGAGUUAGCUCCAUCCUUCCUCCAAAAUGCCUCCCUCUGAUACGCAACAGGCAGAGCAGCAGCAGAAACCCCCACCAGGGUACCCUCAGCCUCAAGGGGAUUCUCCUGCUCCAAAGAAGUCCAGGCGCCCAAGAACAGCAAAGAAAGGGGAGAGAGGAUUCCUUGAAGGAUGCUUGGCGGGGCUUUGCUGCUGCUGGCUUUGCGAGGAAUGCUGCUGCUGAUUGCGUGACUGGUGCAGAUGGCGAUACGAAUCUAGCUACCUGAUUACCAACCAUUAGUGUGUAACCUUCCUUUUGUGGGAGUUAACAAUAACGUUGCAUCAUGUCUAUGUUCUAAGCUCUAGAUCUGUGAAGAAGUAUGGCGAUAAGAUGGUUUUGUGAUGAAUAAAGUGGUUGUCAGUUUCUUGUAAGCAAAUAUGGUCUUUCAAGUAUUUCCUACAGUAAUUACUGGUCAAAUG